GCCGGUGGCUUGGCGCGAGGUCCACCCUCAUCAAGUGGCGCCUUGAGGGUUCGAUUCCCUCCACCGGCA
RNAcentral lists this transfer RNA (69 nucleotides) under Minisyncoccota bacterium. RNAcentral describes it as "tRNA-Met". Lineage: Bacteria; Bacillati; Minisyncoccota. The record is from RNAcentral.